UGCAUUCACUACUGUAAGUCACUCUGGAUAAGAGCGUCUGCUAAAUGACGUAAA
Molecule: non-coding RNA, 54 nt
Organism: Salmo salar (Atlantic salmon)
Lineage: Eukaryota; Metazoa; Chordata; Actinopteri; Salmoniformes; Salmonidae
Source: Rfam